CUGGGGUGACAAAUCUGUCGGGAACAGAUUUGAACGCUGUACACAGCGGCCCCGAAGGGGUGAGGCCCAGGGAUGGGCCGAGUAGCUAUGUGCAGG
Molecule: small RNA, 96 nt
Organism: Serratia fonticola
Lineage: Bacteria; Pseudomonadati; Pseudomonadota; Gammaproteobacteria; Enterobacterales; Yersiniaceae
Rfam family: Aggregatibacter sRNA 22
Source: Rfam